AUUGAACGCUUUCUUCCUGCUUUACACAUGCAAGUCGAACGGUAACAGGCCUUCGGGUGCUGACGAGUGGCGAACGGGUGAGUAAUGCAUCGGAACGUGCCCAGAGGUGGGGGAUAACGCAGCGAAAGCUGUGCUAAUACCGCAUGUGAUCUGAGGAUGAAAGCGGGGGACCAAGCAGCAAUGUUUGGCCUCGCGCCUCUGGAGCGGCCGAUGUCAGAUUAGGUGGUUGGUGGGGUAAAGGCCUACCAAGCCGACGAUCUGUAGCUGGUCUGAGAGGACGACCAGCCACACUGGGACUGAGACACGGCCCAGACUCCUACGGGAGGCAGCAGUGGGGAAUUUUGGACAAUGGGCGCAAGCCUGAUCCAGCAAUGCCGCGUGCGGGAAGAAGGCCUUCGGGUUGUAAACCGCUUUUGUACGGAACGAAAAGGCUCUGGCUAAUACCUGGGGCUGAUGACGGUACCGUAAGAAUAAGCACCGGCUAACUACGUG
RNAcentral lists this ribosomal RNA (492 nucleotides) under uncultured bacterium. RNAcentral's name for it is "partial 16S ribosomal RNA". It matches the Rfam family "Bacterial small subunit ribosomal RNA", at positions 30 to 507 of the family's 1533-position model. The record is from RNAcentral.